CCUGGUUGAUCCUACCAGUAGUCAUAUGCUUGUCUCAAAGAUUAAGCCAUGCUUGUGUAAGUAUGAACUAAUUUGGACUACAAAACUACAAAUGGCUCAUUAAAUCAGUUAUAAAUUGUUUGAUGGUAUCUGCUACUUGGAUAACCAUAAUAAUUUUAGAGCUAAUACAUCAACAAUCCUUGACUUCUAGAAGGGAUGCAUUUAUUAAACAAAAGGUUAAUGCAGGCUUUGCUCUAAUGACUCAUGAUAACUUGUGGAUUGCACAGCUUUUGUGCCAGUGACACAUCAUUCAAAUUUUUGCCCUAUCAACUUUCAAUGGUAGGAUAGUGGCCUACUACAGUGGUCGCCUACUAUGGUGGUGAUGGGUGAUGAAGAAUUACGAUUUAAUUCCAAUGAAAGAGCCUAAGAAAUGGCUACAACAUCUAAGGAAAGUAGUAGGCAUGCAAAUUACCCAAUCUUGACAUAGGGAGGUAGUGACAAUAAAUAACAAUACUAAGCUUUAUGAGUCUAGUAAUUGGAAUGAGUAUAAUCUAAAUCCCUUAAUAAAGAUCCAUUAUAGGGCAAGUCUAGCACCAGUAGUCAUAGCAAUUCCAACUUCAUUUGUGUACAUGUAAGUUGUUGUAGUUAAAAGCUCAUAAUUGAAACUAGGGUUGGGUCAUUUGGUUUGCCUCAUGGUACCAUAGGUCUACUAAUCCCUAUUACCACCAAUGCACUUUUGGCCUUAACUGGCUGAAUCAUUCUUGUGGUGCUAUUACUUUAAAGAAAUUAGAGUGCUCAAAGCAGGCUUAGCUUGUAUACAUUAGCAUGGGAUAACAUCAUAAGAUUUUGAUCCUAUUGUGUUGGCCUUCAGGAUCAGAGUAAUGAUUAACAAAGACUAUAGGGGGCAUUUGUAUUUCAUAGUCAAAGGUGAAAUUCUUGGAUUUAUGAAAGAGAAACAACUACAAAAGCAUUUGCCAAGGAUAUUUUCAUUAAUCAAGAAUGAAAGUUGAGGGCUCAAAGAUGAUUAGUUACCAUCCUAGCUUCAAACAUAAAUGUGCCAACUAGGGAUCAGCAAAUGUUACUUUUAAGACUCCGUUGGCACUUUAUGAGAUAUCAAAGUCCUUGGGUUCCAAAGGGAGUAUAGCCAUAAGGCUGAAACUUAAAGAAAUUGAUUAAAGGCCACCACCAAGAGUGGAGCCUACGACUUAAUUUGAUUCAACAUAGGGAAACUUACCACAUCCAGACAUAGUCAGGAUUGAAAAAAUGAGAGCUCUUUCUUAGUUCUAUAGGUGGUGGUACAUGGCCAUUCUUAGUUGGUACAGUGAUUUGCUUGGUUAAUUUCGUUAACGAGUGAGACCUCAGCCUGCUAACUAGCUAUGCAGAGGUGAUCCUUUGUGGCUAGCUUCUUAGAAGGACUGUAGCCACUCAAAACAAGGAAGUUUGAGGCAAUAAUAGGUCUAUGAUUCCUUUGCAUGUUUUAGGCUACACGUGUGCUACACCAAUGUAUUCAAUGAGUCUAUAGCCUUAGCCAACAAGCCUAGGUAAUAUUUGAAAUUUCAUUGUGAUAGGGAUAGAUCAUUGCUAUUAUUGGUCUUAAACGAGGAAUUUCUAGUAAGCAUGACUCAUCAGUUCAUGUUGACUACAUCCAUGUCCUUUGUAUGCAUUGCCUGUCACUCAUACUAAUUGGAUGGUCUAGUGAAGUGUUUGGAUCAUGAUGACAUGGAUGAUUUGCUGCCUAUGAUAUCACGAGAAAUCCAUUGAACCUUAUCAUUUAGAGGAAGGAGAAGUAGUAAUAAGGUUUUCAUAGGUGAACUUGCAAAGA
Molecule: ribosomal RNA, 1801 nt
Filed under: Durio zibethinus
Lineage: Eukaryota; Viridiplantae; Streptophyta; Magnoliopsida; Malvales; Malvaceae
Description: SSU rRNA
Rfam family: Eukaryotic small subunit ribosomal RNA
Source: RNAcentral